Molecule: long non-coding RNA, 2585 nt
Organism: Lates calcarifer (barramundi perch)
Lineage: Eukaryota; Metazoa; Chordata; Actinopteri; Centropomidae
Exons: 3
Source: RefSeq, a predicted model, not a curated record
GAAAGUCCCAGAAUAGUAGGCCCGUAAUCACCUGUGCUAACAGUUAACUCGUAACUAGUAAGAGUUGUGUCAUUAUGGGUUGGCGAUGUUUCACAUUAGCGUUACCUCGGCAUAGUUUAAAAAGGUGCAUGUUGGGUCUGGCUAAGGCUAUACCUUCUAGCUGUGACUUGUACGAACAGUCGUGAACUUCUACCUAUAGUGAGGUGUGCGCCACCUUUCUGCUGUCUGACUGUUUAUCCCUGUCCUGACUGUAGAGAGCUCUUUUAGCUCAGUAUUUGUAAACUUUGAGGAGCGCAGCGAGACCGAGAGGUGGACUGGACUGGUUUUAUUUCACGGAGAUAAUAAACGAAGAGAGAGGUUGAACCUGGCCUAGACUGUGGAGGACUUCAUGGUGCGUGGGACUGAAAACGAGUGACGUUCAUACAGACAAGAAAUGAAAUCCUAAGGAAGCUGUGCUCAUCCACUGCAGCGUGCAUUCCUAUGCAUUCCCUGGUCAACACUGAUGUUCCUAUGAGCUCAUGCGGCGGAACUGUGGGGUCCAUCUGUGGCUGUGAAAAGGGCCCCAUUCUGUUCAUUUGGAACCAUUGUGUUCAUGUUCACAUCUGCCAAGCAAGCCUUGUCAGCUGCAACUUGGACCUGUCCAAUUACUUUCCAAUUUUUGGACAAUGGAAUAGAUGGAAGGAAACACAGAUGGAUUGACAGCUUGGAUUGAUUUCAAAAUGAGAAAUGUGUUGCUGACAUUAUGGUAGCAUUAUAAUGAUCUUUCCUGCAGCAUUUGAAGGCAGAAAAUUUCACCAAUGAAAUGGUAAUUUAAGGGGUAAGUAGUGGGAAAGGGACUGAACCUAGUUUCAUGUUUAAUCUCUCCUGCCCAGUGAGUGUCAUAUCGCUUUGCCAUACAGCUUGUAAAAGAUAGAUGUGCAAUAACCUGCACUCAUGCAAGUCGACAAACAAUCCAAGAGGACUGACUAUUGACUGUAAGACGGGUAAAUGUUACUCAUUCUAACCAUAAAUCUGAGAGUAAAGCUUUGAUACAUGCAUGGGGGUAGUCCUUGCAUGCACCCAAGACUCAUCCCCAGAUUUAUGGAGGCCAAGGCACUCAAUCUCUGAGACACACAUUUACUUUCACAGAGUCUUCGUCAUCAAUCACAAUGCAACACCAAGGACGUCCUGUUUUCUCUGACAUCUGCUAUUUGACAAACUCAAACUGACUGACACAGCAGAGAGGUUUAUUACUCUCUCCCUGUUGGUGGGUUGCAUGUUGAAUUUUCUAUAUGGUGUACUGUUUUGUGUAUCUACAGUGUAUCCUUAAGAAUAUUCAUAUGAGACCAUUAUGUCAGUAUACAUUUAAUUAGUUGUCAUGCUUUAGUGAGAGAAUCCAUCCAAGCUUUGCAUUCAUAAUGUUGUUCUUCAUUAGAGUGCCAAGCUCAAGGUUUCUCAGGGAUGAAUUUCCAUCGUUAGGAAAGGCUGAGCUCAUUUAUUUUGAUGCUAUACCAACGGCAGCAUUUCUGCUAUUAUACAAGUGAAUUAAACUAAUGCAUCUGUCUCCUCCCUGCUGGUGGACAUUAUUUAUUAGCCCAAUCUACGUCCAUGUCUCUUAUACUGUGUCCCAUCCUUAUCUCACUGGACUGUCUCAUUCUCAUUUCCCUCUCAAGACUAAAGAUUUACUGUUGAUAGGUAUAACAAUACUUACAGUUGUGUAAAUGAUCAUCUUUUGGCUAUAUUACACAACUUAGCUUCCAUUUUCCAUGUUGCAGCAUGUCCUUAGCUGGCACCUUAAUGUACAGUGAUAUGUCCAGUUAUGUAGAAACAAAUUCUAUGAAUGAUAAUCGGCUCUCAUAUUGCAAUUUAGAGACGAACACAAAAAGUAUAUAAUACACUAUAAUAACACAACAAAAGAGUACAAAGCUGGUAUAAUCACCUCUGAUUCCCUUAGGUUAUAGGGUUGCAUUGUUGACCUUUUGUUUUCUAUACUUACAAAGGUCUGGAUGAAUAUUUUAAUAUCUCGUGGUGUGUUCCUACAGCUCAUAAAAGAAAUACAGAUGACUUGAAAUAUUGUUUAUCUAAAUAGGUGUAAAUAUAUGAUUCAUCAAACAUUACAGUAAGUAAUUUAUGAAUGACUCACAGAAUGCUGCAGAGGUAUUUUGUUUUUGCUGUUGUUUGGAUUCACUCUUGAGAAAAGGAAAAAUAAAUUUUGAUUUGUAUUUACUUUGGGGUUCUAGAUGAAUGAUUUAGUGCCUUGGCAGAGGAAACAUCUUAUAUGCAGUCUUUUCUAGGAACUGCUUGUUAGUUUGUGUGUGUGCAACUGUGUGUUUAAACCUCCUGUGUGUGUGUGUUUGUGAGUGUACUUGUGGUAACAACUGCUUGGCUCUAUCGUUGUUCCAUUUGCCAGGACAUAAAAAUACUCUGGGUUAUGCAUGGGUUCAUCAAUAACCAUUGGCCUCAUGAAAAGUUAAUUCAUUCAGGGCUUGAGAACAGACACUAUUAUCCCUGUUGGAAUCAUGUUGAUGUAAGACAUCCUUUAAAAUCAUCCACUUAGUCAUGCAAUUUUUUUGUUGUAGUUCUAUGUGUAUGUGUGUAUAGAGAGA